GACGAACGCUGGCGGCGUGCUUAACACAUGCAAGUCGAACGGAAAGGCCCUGCUUUUGUGGGGUGCUCGAGUGGCGAACGGGUGAGUAACACGUGAGUAACCUGCCCUUGACUUUGGGAUAACUUCAGGAAACUGGGGCUAAUACCGGAUAGGAGCUCCUGCUUCAUGGUGGGGGUUGGAAAGUUUCGGCGGUUGGGGAUGGACUCGCGGCUUAUCAGCUUGUUGGUGGGGUAGUGGCUUACCAAGGCUUUGACGGGUAGCCGGCCUGAGAGGGUGACCGGCCAAAUUGGGACUGAGAUACGGCCCAGAAUCCUACGGGAGGCAGCAGUGGGGAAUAUUGUACAAUGGGAGGAAGCCUGAUGCAGCAACGCCGCGUGCGGGAUGACGGCCGUCGGGUUGUAAAGCGCUUUAGCCUGUGACGAAGCGUGAGUGACGGUAAUGGGUAAAGAAGCACCGGCUAACUACGUG
RNAcentral lists this ribosomal RNA (468 nucleotides) under uncultured bacterium. Its description in RNAcentral is "partial 16S ribosomal RNA". It matches the Rfam family "Bacterial small subunit ribosomal RNA", at positions 28 to 507 of the family's 1533-position model. The record is from RNAcentral.